This 165-nucleotide ribosomal RNA is filed under the name Salmonella enterica subsp. enterica serovar Schwarzengrund. RNAcentral's name for it is "partial 23S ribosomal RNA". It matches the Rfam family "Bacterial large subunit ribosomal RNA", at positions 2778 to 2925 of the family's 2925-position model. The record is from RNAcentral. Lineage: Bacteria; Pseudomonadati; Pseudomonadota; Gammaproteobacteria; Enterobacterales; Enterobacteriaceae.
CAUCUAAGCACGAAACUUGCCCCGAGAUGAGUUCUCCCUGUGACUUAGAGUCUCCUGAAGGAUCGUUGAAGACGACGACGUUGAUAGGCCGGGUGUGUAAGCGCAGCGAUGCGUUGAGCUAACCGGUACUAAUGAACCGUGAGGCUUAACCUUACAACGCCGAAG